Molecule: ribosomal RNA, 497 nt
Filed under: uncultured bacterium
Lineage: Bacteria
Description: partial 16S ribosomal RNA
Rfam family: Bacterial small subunit ribosomal RNA
Source: RNAcentral
GAUGAACGCUGGCGGCGUGCCUAAUACAUGCAAGUCGAGCGAACAGACGAGGAGCUUGCUCCUCUGACGUUAGCGGCGGACGGGUGAGUAACACGUGGAUAACCUACCUAUAAGACUGGGAUAACUUCGGGAAACCGGAGCUAAUACCGGAUAAUAUAUUGAACCGCAUGGUUCAAUAGUGAAAGACGGUUUUGCUGUCACUUAUAGAUGGAACCGCGCCGCAUUAGCUAGUUGGUAAGGUAACGGCUUACCAAGGCAACGAUGCGUAGCCGACCUGAGAGGGUGAUCAGCCACACUGGAACUGAGACACGGUCCAGACUCCUACGGGAGGCAGCAGUAGGGAAUCUUCCGCAAUGGGCGAAAGCCUGACGGAGCAACGCCGCGUGAGUGAUGAAGGUCUUCGGAUCGUAAAACUCUGUUAUUAGGGAAGAACAAAUGUGUAAGUAACUAUGCACGUCUUGACGGUACCUAAUCAGAAAGCCACGGCUAACUACGUG